CCCCUUGCUGAGGGAGCCAGGGGGAUGUUUACAGCUGCUUUUAAGUCUGUCUCUCUAUUAUAUUAACAAAGCGAUAAUGUUGAAACAGGUUCACUGCAGCCCCAGCUCUGGGGGAAGGUGGGAGGAAAUCCACACCUAGCUGCCUCUGCAACAUUUCAGAAAGAGGAAGAAUUGUCCCUGGCACACAGAAAAGCCUUGCUAAGCAAUCAGCUUAAGCCUUGAAGCAUGGAAUUUGAUUAUCUUUACCAUAGGGUUACUUGAGGAGGUACCUGAUGAUGCACAGCAGCUCCCCCAGCCUGCAGAAAUCUCAGAUUUGCCACCUAUGUCCACAUUCAGAGUGAAUCAAAUCCUUGGGAAAGAGUUGCACGAAUUCCUGAAAACUGGUGUGUACAGGUGUGGCAGAUCAGACAGAUCCUGAAAGUGCCUAUUGUUUAUGUACCUAUUGUAUAAACACGCUUAUAUUGUGUAAGUGCUUAUAUUUCUAGCCUGACGAUUAUAAACAGAAAAACGGUGUUUCUAGUAGUAAUCUGUUUGUUUUCUUGUGCUUGUCUUGGGUUGUGACAUGGC
This 567-nucleotide long non-coding RNA is filed under the name Calidris pugnax (ruff). RNAcentral describes it as "lncRNA (ENSCPUG00000011182.1)". The record is from RNAcentral. Lineage: Eukaryota; Metazoa; Chordata; Aves; Charadriiformes; Scolopacidae.